GACGAACGCUGGCGGCGUGCUUAACACAUGCAAGUCGAACGGAAAGGCCCUGCUUUUGUGGGGUGCUCGAGUGGCGAACGGGUGAGUAACACGUGAGUAACCUGCCCUUGACUUUGGGAUAACUUCAGGAAACUGGGGCUAAUACCGGAUAGGAGCUCCUGCUGCAUGGUGGGGGUUGGAAAGUUUCGGCGGUUGGGGAUGGACUCGCGGCUUAUCAGCUUGUUGGUGUGGUAGUGGCUUACCAAGGCUUUGACGGGUAGCCGGCCUGAGAGGGUGACCGGCCACAUUGGGACUGAGAUACGGCGCAGAAUCCUACGGGAGGCAGCAGUGGGGAAUAUUGCAGAAUGGGCGGAAGCCUGAUGCAGCAACGCCGCGUGCGGGAUGACGGCCUUCGGGUUGUAAACCGCUUUCGCCUGUGACGAAGCGUGAGUGACGGUAAUGGGUAAAGAAGCACCGGCUAACUACGUG
Molecule: ribosomal RNA, 468 nt
Filed under: uncultured bacterium
Lineage: Bacteria
Description: partial 16S ribosomal RNA
Rfam family: Bacterial small subunit ribosomal RNA
Source: RNAcentral